This 465-nucleotide ribosomal RNA is filed under the name uncultured bacterium. Its description in RNAcentral is "bacterial SSU rRNA". It matches the Rfam family "Bacterial small subunit ribosomal RNA", at positions 917 to 1382 of the family's 1533-position model. The record is from RNAcentral.
GGGCCCGCACAAGCGGUGGAACAUGUGGUUCAAUUCGACGCAACGCGAAGAACCUUACCUGGGCUUGAAGUGCACAGGACAAUCUUUGGAAACAGAGACUUCCCGCAAGGGACCUGUGUAGAGGUGCUGCAUGGCUGUCGUCAGCUCGUGCCGUGAGGUGUUGGGUUAAGUCCCGCAACGAGCGCAACCCUUACUCAUAGUUGCUACCCGCGAGGGAGAACUCUAUGAGGACUGCUCCGGAUAACGGAGAGGAAGGUGGGGAUGAGGUCAAGUCAGCAUGGCCUUUAUGUCCAGGGCUACACACGUGUUACAAUGCGCGCCACAAAGCGUUGCAAACCCGCGAGGGGGAGCUAAUCGCAAAAAAGCGCGCUCAGUUCGGAUUGCAGUCUGCAACUCGACUGCAUGAAGCCGGAAUCGCUAGUAAUGGCGCAUCAGAACGGCGCCGUGAAUACGUUCCCGGGCCUU